RNAcentral lists this ribosomal RNA (269 nucleotides) under uncultured bacterium. RNAcentral's name for it is "partial 16S ribosomal RNA". It matches the Rfam family "Bacterial small subunit ribosomal RNA", at positions 28 to 293 of the family's 1533-position model. The record is from RNAcentral.
GAUGAACGCUAGCGGCAGGCCUAAUACAUGCAAGACGAACGGUAAGUUGAGUAGCAAUACUUAGCCAAGAGUGUCGUACGGGUGCGUAACACGUAUGCAACCUACCCUAUACAGGAGGAUAGCCUAGGGGAAACCUGGAUUAACCCUUCAUAGUAUUAUUGGAUGGCAUCAUUUGAUAAUUAAAACUGAGGUGGUAUAGGAUGGGCAUGCGUCUGAUUAGUUAGUUGGCGGGGUAAUGGCCCACCAAGACGAUGAUCAGUAGGGGUUCU